UGGCGUACUGCGAAGCGAAGCUGCUGUACCUGGCUGACAGAGUGCAGACGCUGUCCAGCACCGAGGAGGUCGACGCAAAAGUGAGGGAUACCCUGGAGACCUCGACGCUGAAGGAGAAGCAGAACACCAGGAUCAGCUUUGAGGACCUGGAAGAGGAUAUGAUAGAAACCUUCCAGUUCGCAGACGUGGACCACAGCUACGUCCCCUCGCGGGCCGAGAUCAAGCGGCAGGCCCAGCGGCUGAUCGAGGGGCGGCUCAAGGUGGCCAAGAAGAAGAAGAAGUAACCCCGAGGAGGAGCCCCUGCCCCGCCCCCCAGCCCCCCGCUCCCCAGCCGGCGCUUUGUUACACAAAUAAACAUUUUUCCAGGACUGCAGGGGCACCGGGGGACAGGAGUCUCACACACGAACCCGGGGCCCGCGGAAAGGGGGGGUCACGCCGGGAAGUCGGCGGGAAAGUGGGAUAUUGGGUGUGGGCCCGGGGUUGAGGGGUGAGUUGGGGGGCAGGCCCAGCGAGGAAGCGGACGGGUGACAGGCCCGCUCCGAAGGCCCGGGGACAGCUCCGAAGGCUGGGCGGCCGACGUGGCUCCGCGCUCACCUCCGCCCGCAUCCUGCCGCGCGUGCGCGCGCCCCCGCGCGGCCGCCAGGUCAGGCCUCUCGAGGCGCUCCUUAGCGCCGAGUCCGCGUCCACUCGCG
RNAcentral lists this long non-coding RNA (692 nucleotides) under Ursus americanus (American black bear). Its description in RNAcentral is "lncRNA (ENSUAMG00000001692.1)". Lineage: Eukaryota; Metazoa; Chordata; Mammalia; Carnivora; Ursidae. The record is from RNAcentral.